ACUUAAAUAGUUUAAAAUAAAACGUUAAUUUGUGGAAUUAAAUAUAUGAUUAAUCAUUUUAAGUU
RNAcentral lists this transfer RNA (65 nucleotides) under Lithax obscurus. Its description in RNAcentral is "tRNA-His". It matches the Rfam family "tRNA". Rfam says of the family: Transfer RNA (tRNA) molecules are approximately 80 nucleotides in length. Their secondary structure includes four short double-helical elements and three loops (D, anti-codon, and T loops). The record is from RNAcentral. Lineage: Eukaryota; Metazoa; Arthropoda; Insecta; Trichoptera; Goeridae.